GUACGCGAGCUGGGUUUAGAACGUCGUGAGACAGUUCGGUCCCUAUCUGCCGUGGGCGCUGGAGAACUGAGGGGGGCUGCUCCUAGUACGAGAGGACCGGAGUGGACGCAUCACUGGUGUUCGGGUUGUCAUGCCAAUGGCACUGCCCGGUAGCUAAAUGCGGAAGAGAUAAGUGCUGAAAGCAUCUAAGCACGAAACUUGCCCCGAGAUGAGUUCUCCCUGAGACUUAAAGUCUCCUGAAGGAACGUUGAAGACGACGACGUUGAUAGGCCGGGUGUGUAAGCGCAGCGAUGCGUUGAGCUAACCGGUACUAAUGAACCGUGAGGCUUAACCUUACAACGCCGAAG
This 347-nucleotide ribosomal RNA is filed under the name Salmonella enterica subsp. enterica serovar Infantis. RNAcentral describes it as "partial 23S ribosomal RNA". It matches the Rfam family "Bacterial large subunit ribosomal RNA", at positions 2596 to 2925 of the family's 2925-position model. Lineage: Bacteria; Pseudomonadati; Pseudomonadota; Gammaproteobacteria; Enterobacterales; Enterobacteriaceae. The record is from RNAcentral.